RNAcentral lists this ribosomal RNA (748 nucleotides) under uncultured Alphaproteobacteria bacterium. RNAcentral describes it as "bacterial SSU rRNA". It matches the Rfam family "Bacterial small subunit ribosomal RNA", at positions 8 to 772 of the family's 1533-position model. The record is from RNAcentral. Lineage: Bacteria; Pseudomonadati; Pseudomonadota; Alphaproteobacteria.
AGAGUUUGAUCAUGGCUCAGAUUGAACGCUGGCGGCAGGCUUAACACAUGCAAGUCGAGCGGUAACAGGGGUAGCUUGCUACCCGCUGACGAGCGGCGGACGGGUGAGUAAUGCUUAGGAAUCUGCCUGGUAGUGGGGGAUAGCCCGGGGAAACCCGGAUUAAUACCGCAUACGUCCUACGGGAGAAAGCAGGGGAUCUUCGGACCUUGCGCUAUCGGAUGAGCCUAAGUCGGAUUAGCUAGUUGGUGGGGUAAAGGCCUACCAAGGCGACGAUCCGUAGCUGGUCUGAGAGGAUGAUCAGCCACAUCGGGACUGAGACACGGCCCGAACUCCUACGGGAGGCAGCAGUGGGGAAUAUUGGACAAUGGGGGCAACCCUGAUCCAGCCAUGCCGCGUGAGUGAAGAAGGCCUUAGGGUUGUAAAGCUCUUUCAGUGGUGAAGAUGAUGACGGUAGCCACAGAAGAAGCCCCGGCUAACUCCGUGCCAGCAGCCGCGGUAAUACGGAAGGGGCAAGCGUUGUUCGGAAUUACUGGGCGUAAAGGGCGCGUAGGCGGAUAUUCAAGUCAGAGGUGAAAGCCCCGGGCUCAACCUGGGAGUUGCCUUUGAAACUGGGUAUCUGGAGUUCGGGAGAGGUGAGCGGAAUUCCCAGUGUAGAGGUGAAAUUCGUAGAUAUUGGGAAGAACACCGGUGGCGAAGGCGGCUCACUGGCCCGCAACUGACGCUGAGGCGCGAAAGCGUGGGGAGCAAA